AGAAUGUUUGGGGCAUGAGAUUAGCCAGCAGUGUCAGCCUGAUUCCUCCUUGAGCUGUGGGCUGAGCAUCUUGGUCUCACACCCAACACCUUCUAGGCUCCCAGCCUUGAGAGAAAUGUCUGGGCAAUUCUGAUGAGGAGCCGAGAGGACUCAGAGACCAAAUGAGUGCCCCAGGGUCUCUAUAGGGUUAUCCAACCUGUGCAUAUGACUCUGCUCUGUCCUUGUCAUCACUCCGUGUCUAUCUCUGCAGAAUUCUCAGUGAGCUCUUAACCUAUGGGACCCAUACAUUGAGAAAGGGCAGGAAGAGGAAGCACCUGUAUUGCAGGGAGAAAACUCUUAAAGAUGUAGUAGUGAAGAACAGCUCCAAAGAGGGAAGGAAAGCAAGAGACAGGAAAAAGCCCCAGGGGAGGGAUGGAAGUAUGGUAGGCAGCCUGGAUCCUGAGGUAUGAGGCCCACUCAGUGUCGCCUGGCUAAAGCUUGGGGGUUUCCAGUUUGUUGACAGAUUUUGUAGGAAAAUGGAUGUGAAAGUUCACUACUUUUGUGGUUUUAAGUAGAAGGCAGCAUGGCAGAGCAGGGAAGGGCUUGAUUGCUGGAAGUGAGCUGCUUGGGUUCGCAAUCCUACUUCUGCUUCUGCCUGGUUGAAUGACCUCUAAGAGUAUGCCUUCUUCACUGUGACUCAAUUUCUUCACGUAUAAACUGGGGAUGAUGAUUUUGGGGUGUUACUACUGUUUUUAGCAUUGGCAGACAUGGUCAAGGGGAUUUCCACUUCAAAUCUCAAAGCUAUUCUUCAAUGAUGAACCUUACUAGAAUAAUUUGUUUAGUGUAAACAAAUUAAUGCUUUGUGAUUAGUCAUCUUCUGAAUAGCCCUUCUAGGCAUGGAAAGGCAAACGACUUCAUCUUUCUCUGGAUCUUUCCACUCAUGUAACCUUCUGAGCAAUACCUGACUUAAGCUGCCAGAUUUAGCAGAUAAAAACAUCCAACCAAAUUUGAAUUUCAGGUAGUCAACCAACAUUAUUUAGUAUAAGUAUGUUCUGUACAACAUUUGAGACAGACUUAUACUAAACAAACUACUCAUGGUUUGAUCUUAGAUUCAUAUUUAAUUGGACAUCCUGUAUUUCAUCUGGCAACCUGAUAUCUGACCCCAAACUGCACAAAGCAGGUGAGCCUGGACCUGGGGAGCUAGAAUGCAGGUGUAAUUCCCCGGUGUACACCUCGCUCAGGCAUAGUCUGCAACUGUGCUUUUGCAGGAUCUCUUUUAAAAGCAAGAACAACAACAACAACAAAGAAUAAAACAUGCGAUAUUUGCAGCAAAAGACGUAACAGGAGCUGGUCUCAUGUAAAUAUUACGUUAAUUAAAACAGAUGGGUCUGGAGCAUAAACAAAAUAGCUGCAGGGGGCUGGUUUUUGUUCUUGCUGGGUUUCUUAAUAUAGUAACUCAGUUUCCAUCCUGUUAGCACUCUUUCCUUAUCAAACAUUGAACUGGGGUAUAAGGAAGUUUAAAUUACCAGUGAUUGGAGAUCCGUUUUCUAAACACUUGAAACAGAUGGCUUAUUGCCUGAAAAGCAUGUUGAGUUUGGUUAUUUCAGGAAAAUGUUUUAUUGCAGCUCAUUUAUUAACAUCAGGUUUGCCAUGUGAUGAACAAUUUCCCUUCAGCUCUGUUCCUUGCAUUGAGUUUGGCUACUGAGCAAAGAAAGGUUUCAUUUUUAAUGCUGUCUGCCUGCUUCUUGGACAUUGCAUUGAGCAAAAGCCUAGUUACUCCUGUAUAGCUUCUCACAGUUUCAGAAAAAGAGCAAUAACCAUGCAGAAGAUUUUUACAAAUGAAUGUCAUUUGAGAGCAUACAAUGGAUGAAGUUGGACUCUCUACCAGCUGUGGCAGCAGUGGACUUAACAAAAAGAUAAUGUGCUUUUGGCCAGUUUUUGAGGGGUCUAGGAUCCAAUUCAGGACCACAUACUGCACUUAGUU
Molecule: long non-coding RNA, 1963 nt
Filed under: Homo sapiens (human)
Lineage: Eukaryota; Metazoa; Chordata; Mammalia; Primates; Hominidae
Description: non-protein coding lnc-ARHGAP25-2:1
Source: RNAcentral